RNAcentral lists this transfer RNA (73 nucleotides) under Caudoviricetes sp. Its description in RNAcentral is "tRNA-Ile". It matches the Rfam family "tRNA". Rfam says of the family: Transfer RNA (tRNA) molecules are approximately 80 nucleotides in length. Their secondary structure includes four short double-helical elements and three loops (D, anti-codon, and T loops). Lineage: Duplodnaviria; Heunggongvirae; Uroviricota; Caudoviricetes. The record is from RNAcentral.
CGGAAUGUAGCUCAGGUGGGAGAGCACACGCCUAAUAAGCGUGAGGUCGCAAGUUCGAAUCUUGCCUUUCCGA